GGAUUUCAAUGUGGGGUAUAUAUGAACCUGGGCUCUUCAACCUCAAUAACUAACUUUUGGGAUGUGAUUCUCCUAAGUUCAUAUCAAGGGUAUUAAAGCCGUCCACUAUGACUCUCAUUUGCAAUUGUGCGGCGCAAGUGGUGACGCUAGAAUAGCAAUAUUCGCCUGAAGCUAGAUUAAGCUAGUGCAAAGCUAGCCGGCGUGGGUGUAGGGGCUGUAGAGUAGGGGUGAGCAUUCGGUUCAAACUGAACCGAACCGAAUUACUAUAUUUUAGAACUAAACCGAAAUAAAUGAAAAAUUGAAUUGAACCGAACUACUUUAUUUUGGUUCGGUUCAAACUGACUAGUUCUGAAUUUUGAUUGAUUUUUAAUUUAGACUUAAUUUUCA
RNAcentral lists this unclassified non-coding RNA (387 nucleotides) under Hevea brasiliensis (rubber tree). The record is from RNAcentral. Lineage: Eukaryota; Viridiplantae; Streptophyta; Magnoliopsida; Malpighiales; Euphorbiaceae.